Molecule: small RNA, 73 nt
Filed under: Aquitalea magnusonii
Lineage: Bacteria; Pseudomonadati; Pseudomonadota; Betaproteobacteria; Neisseriales; Chromobacteriaceae
Description: isrK
Source: RNAcentral
GUGCUGUUCAAUAGCGGCACCGGGUUUGGCGACCCGACGGAUAAGGCGGACAGCCGCGAUUUGCGGCUAUUUU